UACGGAGGGUGCGAGCGUUAAUCGGAAUCACUGGGCGUAAAGCGCGCGUAGGCGGCUUUUCAAGUCAGGGGUGAAAUCCCACGGCCCAACCGUGGAACUGCAUUUGAAACUGUUAUUCUAGAGUAUGGGAGAGGUAGGUGGAAUUCUUGGUGUAGGGGUAAAAUCCGUAGAGAUCAAGAGGAAUACUCAUUGCGAAGGCGACCUGCUAGAACAUAACUGACGCUGAUGCGCGAAAGCGUGGGGAGCAAACAGG
RNAcentral lists this ribosomal RNA (253 nucleotides) under uncultured Helicobacteraceae bacterium. RNAcentral describes it as "partial 16S ribosomal RNA". It matches the Rfam family "Bacterial small subunit ribosomal RNA", at positions 524 to 776 of the family's 1533-position model. The record is from RNAcentral. Lineage: Bacteria; Pseudomonadati; Campylobacterota; Epsilonproteobacteria; Campylobacterales; Helicobacteraceae.